UCUCCCUCCCCAAAAAAACUCCAGAUACAGCUUCUGCAACUCCUCUAUUAUUCCUUUGGGAGGGUCCAGGCACGUCAGUCUGUGCCACAGCAUAGAAGCUGCCAGGUUAUUAAUUACUAAGACCCUCUCCCUGUAGGGCAGGCUGGUCAGCAACCCUUGCCAACUCUGAAGCCUCCCUGACUUUAUCCACCAGGCCCUUCCAGUUCUGUUCCAUAAAGGUAUCUGUCCCUAAGAAAAUUCCUUAUACUUUUAGCCACUGCUGUAAAACCUGGAAGUCUUUGUUACU
Long non-coding RNA from Acipenser ruthenus (sterlet), 286 nucleotides. RefSeq lists it as uncharacterized. The transcript has 2 exons. Lineage: Eukaryota; Metazoa; Chordata; Actinopteri; Acipenseriformes; Acipenseridae. The record is from RefSeq and is a predicted model, not a curated record.